UACGUAGGGUGCGAGCGUUGUCCGGAAUUAUUGGGCGUAAAGGGCUCGUAGGCGGUUUGUCGCGUCGGGAGUGAAAACACUGGGCUUAACUCAGUGCUUGCUUCCGAUACGGGCAGACUAGAGGUAUGCAGGGGAGAACGGAAUUCCUGGUGUAGCGGUGAAAUGCGCAGAUAUCAGGAGGAACACCGGUGGCGAAGGCGGUUCUCUGGGCAUUACCUGACGCUGAGGAGCGAAAGCUAGGGGAGCAAACGGG
This 253-nucleotide ribosomal RNA is filed under the name uncultured bacterium. RNAcentral describes it as "partial 16S ribosomal RNA". It matches the Rfam family "Bacterial small subunit ribosomal RNA", at positions 524 to 776 of the family's 1533-position model. The record is from RNAcentral.